Molecule: long non-coding RNA, 5123 nt
Organism: Ruditapes philippinarum (Manila clam)
Lineage: Eukaryota; Metazoa; Mollusca; Bivalvia; Venerida; Veneridae
Exons: 4
Source: RefSeq, a predicted model, not a curated record
UGUUAACAUAGUGGUGUAUCACUCACUUGACAGCAAACUACGACGCAGUUUAAAUAAAUGUGUGAAUAUUUCGUGCUUUUCACAACAACUGAUUUCUUGAUUCAAAUAAAAGUAUUUGGAGAAAAAAUAAUUGAUUAAAGUCUAUUUCUAGGUGCUCGACUCAUAUCAAGAUAUCACGUAUUUUACAGUUAUAGUACAUAUCGACGAUACUGUUAAGUGAAAGCAUCAAGUUGCACGUGGCUCAAAUACAAUGUCAGACGAUCCUAUUAGGAAAAUGUGUCCUCCAGAAGAGGAAUUGGUUCUCCGAAUGAAUGCCAUGUUCGGCAAAGGCGAUUACGAUCUUUUGUUCAACAAUUGCCAACAUUUUUGUACAAAACUGAGAUAUGGUAUUGCCUUUAGCAGACAGGCUGAACUGUUAACAAAAGGAACUUUCUUAACACCCGCAGGACACGAUUUUACAAUCAAAAAGUAGUGUUUUUAGUGUUAUUAUAAACAAAUAUGAAUAUAAAGACAGACUUAAUUUGGCUGACAAAAGAAAAGCUUCAAAAAACAAGGAUCUUAUUGUUAUGGCUUGCAGUAAAACCACAAUUAAUAAUACAAGCAAAUUUGAAAAACAAGCACAAAAUACAGUACUUUUUUUCAAUACUGGUUUAAAUGUCGUUUUUUUAAUAAUACAUCUGUAGGAACGCAAAUGUUACGACCAAUAGCAAACAUCUUUAAAUGCCAACCACACAAUGUAGUGCUCAUUCCGAAUACUGGCUAAAAGUUCUUUUUAUUUAAUACACCUACAGAAGUUAAAAUUUCACAAUAAAAUACAAGCAGCUUCGAAUGCCAGCAAAACAAUGCUCUAUCUUUACUCAAUACUGGCUUCUUUAACAAUUUAAUUGAUACAUCUGUAGAAGCCCAAAUGCCACCAACAAUAACAAGCAGCUUUGAAAACAGUCACUAAAUACCGAAUUGACUUCAAUCCUUAUACAUUUACACACACUCAAAUGCCACAGACUAUAACAAGCAACUGCCUUAAAAACCAGCCACAAAUCCACAUUUAUUUAAUACUGACAUGUGUGCCGAUUCUUUUGAUAAACAUGUAAAAACUCAAAUGCCGCGAACAAUAACAAGCAGCCUUGACAACCAGCCACAAUACGCACAACAUUUAUUAAACCCGAUACAUCUGCAAAAUCUCAAAUGCCGCGGACACUCACAAGCUGCUGCUUUGAAAAACAGUCCAUAUUUGCACAAUUAAUUAUUAUCCAAAUUGAAUUUAUAUGACAUGCAUACAAAAUUAUUUGUUUCAUCUGAAACUCAUACGGCAAAUUUGCACAAAAUUCCUGCAGAAUCUUUAGAAAACCAAAUGCCGCGUAAAAUAACAGACAAGCCUGCAUCAAAAUGCAUAACCUUUACUCAAUACUGGAUACAAUCUGAUUUCUUCAAUACAUCUGUAGAAACUUAAAUACCGCGAACAAUAACAAGCAGCUGUAAAAACCAUCUACAAAAUACACAACAUCUCCAAUACCUGCGGUUUCUAUCUCUAUCUAGCUGAUACAUCUGUAAAAACUUAAAUUACUGUUGAUUGAAAGUAGAGUAAUCAUGGAAAAUACUUUACAGAGGCAUAUUCUACAUUUUUGCAACCAACGUUAUUAUCCCUCCCUUUAAAUAUUGUUGAUACAGUUUUGUAUAUUGCUAGUUAAUCAAAGUAUUAUGCUAUACACACUGGCUCGUGCUUCUGCAGAUGUUAAUGCACGAGAAUAGUAGCAUAAACCCUAUACUGUAUUCGGUUAUCCGCAUAUAGGAUAAAUAGAUCACAAACUCACACAAUUUAUCAAACAUGUUUCACUUAAAUAAGCUUCAUUAGUUGAUAUGAUAAAUAAGAAAUGAAAUGACGUAAACGUUUCAAACAAACGUCUACGUUAACAAACGCCACAUUAGUUGUGUAAAAGAAACAUUGUGAAAUUAUAUCAAUUACCUAUUUCUGUUUCAUACAAUAAAAUAAAUACAUUUGAGUAUGUAUACAAGUAUAUAUAGACGUAAUUAUCAAUCACACUCUAAAAUUGUAUUAAUGGGGUAUACUAAUGGUCAAAUCAUCACUUUCCUUUAGUAUAUUGUAUAAAUUUAAUAAAAGAAGUUGAAUAUGAUCUAUCUAUUAUCUAUUCAACUUAGGGCUUAUUGUGUUGAUAAUUAAUUCACGUUACAGAAAAAAAAAAUCAAUGACCAUAUGAGUACAUGACGAAUAUGUCCUGUAUAAAUGAAAACAUCAUAAAACAUGCGUUCAUAAAGAGAGGUUAUUAAAUUUUUAAAUCAUUGACAUUAAUAAUGCAUUUGUAUCAAUUACAAAAAUAAUAACAUAACAUAUGUUUUAUUAGUCUUAAGCACAUUAACAGCUCAUCGACAUUUACAUAUAAUAUGACACGUAUUUGCAGCAUGCGUAAUAAUUAUAAUCUUAUUUACAGACAUUGAAAAAACACAUACAUUAUACACAAAGUACAACGGCUACACACAAUAAUAAACAUCGAGAAUGCAUAUACUUUUUACAUUUUUACUUUGUAUCAAUUACAAAAAAAUAAUAUACAAUCAUAGAUUCAAUAAAUGGUCAUAAAUUUGAAAAGUCAUUUAAUACCGAUAUGUACUGUCAAUGAUAUGAAUGCGUUUGUAAAGAGAUUUUAGUAUAUAUAUACCUGGAAAAUGAUUCUAAAAUUCAUAGAGUACUUUUGCAUAGUACUUUUGCAUGAAAAUCUUUUGGACAAAAUGAUUCCAAUUUUUAGAUCCAAUAUGUCCCUUUCAAUAUUCUCCCCAUAGUAUCGUAACUUUAUCUAUUGACACGCUUAUAUAAAUAUAAUAGUUCAUCUUAAAUGUGUCAAUAUUUAAUAAUAAUUAUUAUGUAAUUCAAUUACAUCAUAGAUAUUAAAUAUUACACAUAAACCAAGAAACUCAUACUCAAGCAUUAAAGCACUAUCGAACAUCAACAAUGUCUCAAAAUCAAAAGGUAAUACAUACUCUUUUAUGUAAACAGAAAACUUGUUCUGUUCAUUACAUUUGCAUGAUAUGUAAGCCUAUUUUAUCCGAAUAUAUUUAAGCAAAGUAAAUCUUAUAUCUUUUACGGGUUAACAAAUAAGGCUAUAUAAAAUUGAACAAAGGUAGUGUUUAAUUUGCAAUAAAAAGGUUUUAAAUUGAAAACACAAUUUCCUUUCAAAUGUAUUUGGUAUGAAAUUGCAUGAUCAAACUUAACGACAACUGAUAUAUCGCAAUCAUUGAUGUGAAUUUUAAUUUAUUCAUAUCAUGUACAGUUAUAUAACAUCACAACUACAGAACAUUAGAGUAUUGUCAUUUCAAAUGAUGUUUUGUUUCACAUUUCACACUAUUUAAUUGAACGUCGUAAAAACAUCGUGUGCUAAUUCAUAGCUUUUUUUUUACAUUAGUAACUAGUAUUUGUUUUGCUUAGAAAGUUUUUAAUUGUUUUAAGAUAUAUCGGAUUUUAAUGUUUCUGUUUUUCCUUUAAGCUAAGACUAAAACUAAAACAAAUAUUUGAUAAAAACAUCUACGUUUUUUGUUCUCCAGAGCAAACACGUGCUUUAUUUGAUCGCUUACAGGUCUUCUGUCGAGCGUCUUGUUUUCUGUUGUUGUUUUUUUGUGGAUUGGUAAACUUUUUAAACUCAGUCUUUUUUAUUUUAAAUUUUGACAUUAUGUCACAGAAAUUAUCGUCUUGUGGUUUUCAGUUUUGUCUUUUAAUUUGAUAAAAUCUUGGUCCCUUGGUGGGGAACGAGAUAAACAAUCCUUUUACAUAUAAUAUUGCUGUUUUCUGUUCUUAAAAGGUAUAUUGUUUGAAAAAGUAAUGCCACUAAAGAUCUAAAGAUAUAUUGGUCAAACUUUGAUAAUGUUUACACGGAAUAAUUCAUAGUUAUUGUUUGAAGUUGUUUUGAAUUGAUGAAGAAUUGUGUUAUGUCCUAUUUAAAAAAUGAAUAUAGGAACACUUCUUAAAGAACGUGUGUGUUUGAAUUUGAUAUUAUUUUAUAGAAAUAUGUCACAUACAUGUUGAUUAGUGAAAAACAUGGCCAGUAGGAGACCAUGUCACUUUGUUUUGUAUUUACAGCAAUCAACGAUUUUGUUUUUGAUAAAUGCAUUAUGUGUUCGUCAUCUUAAGAUGUAUUGAAAUAAAACUAAUAUUCAAAAGACUUACUUGCAAGACAAUAGGAUGAUUUUGUGCUUGCCUUGUAUUUUAAAGUGAAAACGUAGCAAAUAUUCAUAGAAAAAACGGCAUCCCGAAUGAACUUCCAAAACGACAAACUAUCAUUUUGUAUUGUAUUGCGUAUCUAAAAUGACCUUAACAUUUUCUAAAUGGUUAGAACACAUAGACACAAAAAACAUUUUCUUAGAACUAUUACUCAGAAUUUGAAUAAUUUUGAGUAACUAACUUUUGUAUUUUUUCAUCAACUAAGUCUAGGCAUACGUAUUUGAUUUAUCAACUUAAAGCUUGACAGAGUGAUAGAAAGAAAAUGUAGGGGAAGUAAGAUCUUCAAGAACAAUUACCAUCUUUUGUUUAAUUUUGGAGUUAUAGUCCUUUGUAAUAUUUCAUACUUACAUGUCCUUUUUGUCUAAAUGUGUUGGAUAUAUCAACUUGAAAUUUAACAACUUUGUUUGUCUUAAUAGAGAUAAGCAAACUGUUAAAGAAUAUAUACACGUUUGUAAUUAUUACCUUUUGUUGACCAUGCCUCAGAUUACAUCACUUGUCUCUUUGUAAGUAUUUUAAUCUAUCAUACUUAUUGAGAUGUAAUAUUUAUAGAUGUCAAAAAUAUGUUAAUGUCUGUAUAUCUCUAAAAAUAUCCUAUUGUUUUACACAGCUCUCUUUGUUUGUAUCACAAAAGCGCCCUGGGGUUCUUAAUAUUCAGAAGCUUAAAUCAAGAAAUUUGUAUCAUUCGUUGAUGGGCAUAUCAAUUUAACGACUUUACCUAUUUCUAUAUAUGUGUUGUUUUAUUUUAUUUUACUUUUAAAACCCCAAUUUUCUAAUUCUUUUACCCAUGAUAUCAGUUUUGUUUGGUUAUCAUUUGUUUAUAGAAUUUUAUAUGCACUGAAGUUGUUUUACACGUGGAAAGCUUAAAAUUGUUAUCAUUUUAACAAAUGCUAAUGUAACA